This is a long non-coding RNA of Halichondria panicea, 738 nucleotides long. RefSeq lists it as uncharacterized. The transcript has 2 exons. Lineage: Eukaryota; Metazoa; Porifera; Demospongiae; Suberitida; Halichondriidae. The record is from RefSeq and is a predicted model, not a curated record.
CUAGUCCAAGUUGUGUAAUGGCUGCUACCUUCUCUUCUGCUCUCGCGUACGCGUUAUCCUGUGUUGGAAAACCAGGUCUAGUCUUGAAAGACAAGCAGCUGGAGGCGUUGAAGUGUCUGUACGCUGGUGUUUAUGUGGGUACCGUACCGACCGGCUAUGGCAAGUCCCAGAGCAAGUCCAUCUGCUUUCCAGACACUCCCUUUCUUGAUUGAUGUGAAGCUUGACAGGACCAGUGCACCUCUCUCUGAAAGAAGUGUUGUGAUGGUGAUUUCUCCUCUUGUUUCUCUGAGUGAAGCCAUCUUCAAAGUGUUGGUGUGUCUGUUCGACGUUCAGUGCCAUUCUCUCUGGAAGGAAGUAUUGUUGUGACAUUAAAUAUUUUGCCGAAAAUUGGUCACAGAGUAAGUACGUGGUAUCUGAUCCGAGAACUGUGUGGCCUGAAUGUGUUUACAAUCCGAGGGACUUGUGUGUAUCCGAUCCGAGGGACUUGUUGCUUGAGUGUGUAUCCGGACUUGUUGCUUGAGUGUGAUUUAAUGGAUAGUGCUUUCAAUGGUUUAACUAAUUUCUUAUGAGAUUAACUUGUCGGCUGAGUGUGUAUCCGAUCCGAGCCUCAAGUUAAUGAAUAAAUCUACAGAGCUGAUGUUUUACUUAGCUGUCUCUGUCUACAGUAUAUACAGAGAGGUAGCCUCUCCUUUUUCUGUUCUUUAUCACAAUAAGAUAAAAUACUGUUUUAACGUUCAA